RNAcentral lists this ribosomal RNA (253 nucleotides) under uncultured bacterium. RNAcentral's name for it is "partial 16S ribosomal RNA". It matches the Rfam family "Bacterial small subunit ribosomal RNA", at positions 524 to 776 of the family's 1533-position model. The record is from RNAcentral.
UACGUAGGGAGCAAGCGUUGUCCGGAAUCAUUGGGCGUAAAGCGCGCGUAGGUGGCCAUUUAAGUCCGCUGUGAAAGUCAAAGGCUCAACCUUUGAAAGCCGGUGGAUACUGGGUGGCUAGAGUACGGAAGAGGCGAGUGGAAUUCCUAGUGUAGCGGUGGAAUGCGCAGAUAUCAGGAGGAACACCAAUAGCGAAGGCAGCUCGCUGGGACGUUACUGACACUGAGGCGCGAAAGCGUGGGGAGCGAACAGG